Long non-coding RNA from Sapajus apella (tufted capuchin), 1515 nucleotides. RefSeq lists it as uncharacterized. The record is from RefSeq and is a predicted model, not a curated record. Lineage: Eukaryota; Metazoa; Chordata; Mammalia; Primates; Cebidae. The transcript has 2 exons.
GCCUGGGAAGGUCCAGGCUGCAGUGAGUCAUGAUCGCACCACAGCACUCCAGCCUGGGUGACAGACUUAAGCGUUUUUGAAACCCCAUCUCAAAAAAAUAAAAAUAAAAAAUAACAGUAGUUACGUUAGAUAAAUUCUAGUGUUCCAUCGCACAGUAGGGUGACUAUAGUUAAUAAUAAUUUAUUGUGUAUUUCAAAACAGCUAGAAGAGAGGAAUUUGAAUGUGCCAAACACAAAAAAAUGAUAAAUGUUUGAGAUGAUGGAUAUGCUAAAUACUCUUAUUUGAUCACUAAACAUCAUAUACAGGUAUGGAAACAUCACAUGUACACCAUAGAGAUGUACAAUUAUUAUGUAUCAAUUAAAAAUAAAAGAAUAAAAUUAUAUUUCAGAAAUGUACUUGGUUACAAGAGAACAUCUUUCAUAAAAUGAUUAAAAUGUGAGUUACAGAUCCUUUCCCAUGCAGGGCACCUGUGAGAGCCUGGGUUGCUAAGAGUGAUAGAGUUCCAGGUGGAGAGAGGAAGCCGGGUUACAAUCAGGAAACAUUUCUAUGUCAGCAUUUCUGGUAAAUUGCUUAAAGGGAUCUCAGAAGAAAAGGAACUAAUUCUCCAGCACUCUUGUAAUUUGUCAUGAUAUAAUUUCUCAUUCUAAGUAAAUAUUCGCUUUCAUGACUAAUUUUGUAUUUGCAAUUUUGCAUUCUUUUUCUUAAAGAGGGCUCCCAUAAUUGUGUAAGGCUCGUGCCACACAAAACCUGAAGGUGCCUUUGGUGAGGUGGGUCAUCAGAACACCAGCUGGGCGUCUCGCAGUGUGAAAUCUAGCACUGGAUUCCAUCCCUGACUUUUCCUAAGAAUCACUGUGAAUGUCCUGAAUAGACUGCUGCUGCACCAGGUGCUCCUGUGUCAUCACACUUCCUAACUGCACUUCUGGGUCCUCCGAAGCUGUUCCCAGUGCUUAAUCAUAAGAAGAGAAGCUCCAAAUACCAGUUCAGAAGCUCAGGCCAUGCGCAGAAUCCUGCUGACAGCUUCUGGAUUUCGAUACACAAAAGAACCAGUGAAGACGGCUUGGUUGGAGCUAGAGCAACAUGAAACUCAUCAACCAGAUUAUGCAAAUUAUUAUGCAAACUCAUAUUAUUGAGCCAGGAAUCACUACAGGCCCUUUCUUCCAACACUGCUGAGAUAAAACCAAAUGGAUUGCAACACUAGCUUGGGGUGAAUUCAGGGAGCUCGGAAAAAAAAUUCCUGGGAUUUUCCGUGCAGUGGAAAAGACAGUGGGCUGGAACUCAGGGACCUGAGGUUUAGUUCUGGAUCUGGCACUAGGUAGCUGUGUGGCCCUGAGAGGACCUGUGAGCCUCAGUUUCUCCAACUGUGAAAUGAGAUGACACUCCAUGCUGUAAAAGACCCCAGCCACUCUACGCAAUUUGGAUGGCAUGUCCAAGAUGGAAGCACACAACGGCAGAGGCUUGUAGUGACCUUCAGGACAGCUCUCCAGUAGCUGGAAAUAAAAGUCUUAUUGUUUGGUU